Molecule: non-coding RNA, 1196 nt
Organism: Arachis ipaensis
Lineage: Eukaryota; Viridiplantae; Streptophyta; Magnoliopsida; Fabales; Fabaceae
Source: RefSeq, a predicted model, not a curated record
UUAUGGUUAUGGUAUGGAGCACUGGUGCGUCGUUUUAACUGUAAAAUACAUGAUUGUGAUUAGUGGCACUUUUAUGACAUUGAUGCUACAAUGUUUUUUUGAUGACGUUUGUCCGAAGCUCAGAUAGAGAAGGUUGUUUUAGGUAGUUGGAAGCUAACAUAAAACUUAGUCUAUUCUUUAUGACGUGGAUCAGAGAUGGUAAUGGUAUAUUGUUAGGAGACAAAUUAAUAGGUCUGAAGUUCAUAGUGGAAUGAGAUGCCUUUAAUCACAAGUAGGAUUAAAUGAGCAUCACAAAACCCAAUUUUGGAAGGAUUUAGAAAGGUUUAAUCCAGGGCUACAAUUGGGGGCAAAGAUGUUUUUCUAUUAUUAUUACUUUUUUAAAAUGAGAUUUAAAUGGUCAUGUGGUGGUAGUGAUUUAGUGAAGCUUAGUGGCUAACUGGCUAUGAAGGGUUAUGUAUGUGUGCUAGUGCUUAUUUUGGAAGCAGGACGAGCAUCUUAUCAUAGCAUUAGGAAUGAAUGCAUUAGAGACAAGGUUGGGGUAUUGUUUAUCACAGAAAAGAUGAUAUAAUCUCACUUUAGAUGAUUUGGGCAUGUGGAGAAGACUUGUAGAAGUGCUAGUAAGAAAUAUAACAAGUGGAGGGUAGCUUAAUAUCUAGAAUAGAGGGGACCUAGAUAAAUUAUAGGUUAAACUAUGAAAGAUAUGUAGAUUUCAAUAGAUUGAAAGUGAAUUUGAUUUAUGAUAUGACAUUAUAGCGCUGUCUGAUUUUUGUAGCUGAUCUCACCUAGUUGGAGAAAGCUUAAUUGUUGUCAACUCAUAAUAUAAAUCAUGGGAGGGAAAUUUUGUAUUAUGAUGACUCAUGGAAAUAGAAUCUUCGAUAUCAGUAAGGUGCAGCAUGUUUCUGCAUUUCGCAUGUGUUGUAGGCUUGUAGCAAUGUACUGUGUCAAAUAGACUCCCUUAAUUUAGUGACCUGUUUUGAGAGACCCUUCACUUUUCUGCAUGCUUAUUUCAUAUCUUUGCUGGCAACAAUGUACAGAAGGUAAUUGACUAUCAUCAAUAUAUUCCUUCUUUGACUGGUAAUUUGCAUUUUUAUGGUAAGAAAGGAUGUUUCACUGUUAAAAUGUAGGGAGAAAGUUCAGGAACAGAGUUCCAACUACAGAGAUGAUUACAGAAAAUUUUAAAGUAAGCUAUAAAUGUU